RNAcentral lists this ribosomal RNA (468 nucleotides) under uncultured bacterium. Its description in RNAcentral is "partial 16S ribosomal RNA". It matches the Rfam family "Bacterial small subunit ribosomal RNA", at positions 28 to 507 of the family's 1533-position model. The record is from RNAcentral.
GACGAACGCUGGCGGCGUGCUUAACACAUGCAAGUCGAACGGAAAGGCCCUGCUUUUGUGGGGUGCUCGAGUGGCGAAAGGGUGAGUAACACGUGAGUAACCUGCCCUUGACUUUGGGAUAACUUCAGGAAACUGGGGCUAAUACCGGAUAGGAGCUCCUGCGGCAUGGUGUGGGUUGGAAAGUUUCGGCGGUUGGGGAUGGACUCGCGGCGUAUCAGCUUGUUGGUGGGGUAGUGGCUUACCAAGGCUUUGACGGGUAGCCGGCCUGAGAGGGUGACCGGCCACAUUGGGACUGAGAUACGGCCCAGACUCCUACGGGAGGCAGCAGUGGGGAAUAUUGCACAAUGGGCGGAAGCCUGAUGCAGCAACGCCGCGUGCGGGAUGACGGCCUUCGGGUUGUAAACCGCUUUCGCCUGUGACGAAGCGUGAGUGACGGUAAUGGGUAAAGAAGCACCGGCUAACUACGUG